Molecule: long non-coding RNA, 968 nt
Filed under: Rhinopithecus bieti (black snub-nosed monkey)
Lineage: Eukaryota; Metazoa; Chordata; Mammalia; Primates; Cercopithecidae
Description: lncRNA (ENSRBIG00000045756.1)
Source: RNAcentral
GUACAGGUGCAGGCUUUCUGGUGUAGGUUCCGACGCACCAGCCUUCAAUUUCUGCCUCUACUAUCCAUUUAGGCUGUGACCUCCAGUGGUAGUUCUCCACUUUCUCUAAUUCUCAGUUACUUCAUCCUUAAGAAGUGGUACAUAACUCACACCUUGUUCGGAUUAUAUGAGUAUGUGUGCAUACACCGUUUAGUGCAACGUAUGGCACAGAGUCAAGAAACGCAGGAUAUUAAGUUGAGGUCAUUUUUCUUUUGGGACGACAAGGACAGGGCACGGGCUGGGGCUCCGAGUGGUAACCAGCAGCGGGCUUUUCCUCCUGCCCUUCCUUUUGGGAAACGAAUGUGCUAAAAUAGCGCAUGCAGCCCAGGCUCUGGCCUAGGCCGUCGGUACCCGGCCAUGCUUAGCUCCUCUGAGGUCGCCCUUAGUGAGAAUACGAGGUGCCCCCACCCCGUUCACUCUAGACACCUCCAGAACACUCGCCUCCCGCGCACUGGAGCCGCGGGACACCCCCAGCAGCCAGCGUAGCGGGAUCACCCGGAAGCCCCAGGACCGCUUGGUGAAACCUGCGCAUGCGCAUCCGCGUCACGCUGCUGUUUAGCCGUUUCCAUGGCUACGAAGCCCGUCGGCCGGGGAUAGGAGAGCAAGAAAAUGAAGCUCAAGAGUUUCCUGCUCCGGUAUUAUCCGCCAGGAAUUAUGUUGGAAUAUGAAAAACAUGGAGAAUUAAAGACGAAGUCAAUAGAUUUGCUUGAUCUUGGUCCCAGUACUGAUAUCAGUGCUUUAGUGGAAGAAAUCCAGAAGGCAGAACCUCUAAUCACAGCUUCACGAACAGAGCAAGUCAAACUUUUGAUACAGAGGUUACAAGAGAAACUUGGCCAGCACAGCAAUCAUACAUUCUAUCUUUUAAGGUAAUGGAUUUACAAAACAUCAGAUAGAAGAAUUUCAGUGAAAUGAUUGAUACUUUAUUUAUU